GGGCGGUUAGCUCAGCUGGCAGAGCGCCUCGCUUACACCGAGGAGGCCGGGGGUUCGACUCCCUCACCGCCCACCA
Molecule: transfer RNA, 76 nt
Filed under: Alphaproteobacteria bacterium
Lineage: Bacteria; Pseudomonadati; Pseudomonadota; Alphaproteobacteria
Also listed under: 1 other name
Description: tRNA-Val
Rfam family: tRNA
About the family: Transfer RNA (tRNA) molecules are approximately 80 nucleotides in length. Their secondary structure includes four short double-helical elements and three loops (D, anti-codon, and T loops).
Source: RNAcentral